GUCCGCGUAGCUCAGCUGGAUAGAGCAAUCGCCUUCUAAGCGAUCGGUCACAGGUUCGAAUCCUGUCGUGGACGCCA
Molecule: transfer RNA, 77 nt
Filed under: Bacillota bacterium
Lineage: Bacteria; Bacillati; Bacillota
Description: tRNA-Arg
Rfam family: tRNA
About the family: Transfer RNA (tRNA) molecules are approximately 80 nucleotides in length.
Source: RNAcentral